AGAUUGAACGCUGGCGGCAUGCCUUACACAUGCAAGUCGAACGGCAGCACGGGAGCAAUCCUGGUGGCGAGUGGCGAACGGGUGAGUAAUACAUCGGAACGUGCCCAGUAGUGGGGGAUAACCCGGCGAAAGCCGGACUAAUACCGCAUACGACCUACGGGUGAAAGCAGGGGAUCGCAAGACCUUGCGUUAUUGGAGCGGCCGAUGUCAGAUUAGCUUGUUGGCGGGGUAAAAGCCCACCAAGGCGACGAUCUGUAGCUGGUCUGAGAGGACGACCAGCCACACUGGGGACUGAGACACGGCCCAGACUCCUACGGGAGGCAGCAGUGGGGAAUUUUGGACAAUGGGGGAAACCCUGAUCCAGCCAUGCCGCGUGAGUGAUGAAGGCCUUCGGGUUGUAAAACUCUUUCGACGGGGACGAUAAUGACGGUACCCGUAGAAGAAGCUCCGGCUAACUUCGUGCCAGCAGCCGC
RNAcentral lists this ribosomal RNA (473 nucleotides) under uncultured bacterium. RNAcentral's name for it is "SSU rRNA". It matches the Rfam family "Bacterial small subunit ribosomal RNA", at positions 26 to 518 of the family's 1533-position model. The record is from RNAcentral.